UACGUAGGGUGCAAGCGUUGUCCGGAAUUAUUGGGCGUAAAGGGCUCGUAGGCGGUCCAUCGCGUCGGGAGUGAAAAGCUGGGGCUCAACCCCAGUCCUGCUUUCGAUACGGGCAGACUAGAGGCAUGCAGGGGAGAACGGAAUUCCUGGUGUAGCGGUGAAAUGCGCAGAUAUCAGGAGGAACACCGAUGGCGAAGGCAGGUCUCUGGGCAUUAACUGACGCUGAGGAGCGAAAGCAUGGGGAGCGAACAGG
Molecule: ribosomal RNA, 253 nt
Filed under: uncultured bacterium
Lineage: Bacteria
Description: partial 16S ribosomal RNA
Rfam family: Bacterial small subunit ribosomal RNA
Source: RNAcentral